UCCCAGGGAUGGUCGCAGAGAUGUGACCCUCUCUUCGGAGCCUGGAGCACAGGUGCUGCAUGGCUGUCGUCAGCUCGUGUCGUGAGAUGUUGGGUUAAGUCCCGCAACGAGCGCAACCCCCGUCCUUAGUUGCUACCAUUUAGUUGAGCACUCUAAGGAGACUGCCGGUGAUAAGCCGCGAGGAAGGUGGGGAUGACGUCAAGUCCUCAUGGCCCUUACGGGCUGGGCUACACACGUGCUACAAUGGCGGUGACAAUGGGAUGCUAAGGGGCGACCCUUCGCAAAUCUCAAAAAGCCGUCUCAGUUCGGAUUGGGCUCUGCAACUCGAGCCCAUGAAGUUGGAAUCGCUAGUAAUCGUGGAUCAGCACGCCACGGUGAAUACGUUCCCGGGUNUGGAACCCCCACCCGA
This 409-nucleotide ribosomal RNA is filed under the name Bradyrhizobium japonicum. RNAcentral describes it as "bacterial SSU rRNA". It matches the Rfam family "Bacterial small subunit ribosomal RNA", at positions 987 to 1397 of the family's 1533-position model. Lineage: Bacteria; Pseudomonadati; Pseudomonadota; Alphaproteobacteria; Hyphomicrobiales; Nitrobacteraceae. The record is from RNAcentral.